GACGAACGCUGGCGGCGUGCUUAACACAUGCAAGUCGAACGCUGAAGCUCAGCUUGCUGGGUGGAUGAGUGGCGAACGGGUGAGUAACACGUGAGUAACCUGCCCUCUUCUUUGGGAUAACGCCCGGAAACGGGUGCUAAUACUGGAUAUUCACUGAUUCUCGCAUGGGGGUUGGUGGAAAGGUUUUUUCUGGUGGGGGAUGGGCUCGCGGCCUAUCAGCUUGUUGGUGGGGUGAUGGCCUACUAAGGCUUUGACGGGUAGCCGGCCUGAUGGGGUGACCGGUGACAUUGGGACUGGGAUACGGCCCAGACUCCGACGGGAGGCAGCAGUGGGGAAUAUAGCACAAUGGGCGAAAGCCUGAUGCAGCGACGCCGCGUGAGGGAUGGAGGCCUUCGGGUUGUAAACCUCUUUCGCUCAUGGUCAAGCCGCAGCGUUGGGUUGUGGUGAGGGUAGUGGGUAAAGAAGCGCCGGCUAACUACGUG
RNAcentral lists this ribosomal RNA (482 nucleotides) under uncultured bacterium. RNAcentral describes it as "partial 16S ribosomal RNA". It matches the Rfam family "Bacterial small subunit ribosomal RNA", at positions 28 to 507 of the family's 1533-position model. The record is from RNAcentral.